This 374-nucleotide ribosomal RNA is filed under the name uncultured organism. RNAcentral's name for it is "partial 16S ribosomal RNA". It matches the Rfam family "Bacterial small subunit ribosomal RNA", at positions 527 to 896 of the family's 1533-position model. The record is from RNAcentral.
GUAGGUGGCAAGCGUUGUCCGGAAUUAUUGGGCGUAAAGCGCGCGCAGGCGGGUCCUUUAAGUCUGAUGUGAAAGCCCACGGGCUCAACCGUGGAGGGUCAUUGGAAACUGGGGGACUUGAGUACAGAAGAGGAAAGCGGGAUUCCAAGUGUAGCGGUGAAAUGCGUAGAGAUUUGGAGGAACACCAGUGGCGAAGGCGGCUUUCUGGUCUGUAACUGACGCUGAGGCGCGAAAGCGUGGGGAGCAAACAGGAUUAGAUACCCUGGUAGUCCACGCCGUAAACGAUGAGUGCUAAGUGUUAGGGGGUUUCCGCCCCUUAGUGCUGCAGCUAACGCAUUAAGCACUCCGCCUGGGGAGUACGGCCGCAAAGGCUG